Molecule: microRNA, 23 nt
Filed under: Brachionus plicatilis
Lineage: Eukaryota; Metazoa; Rotifera; Eurotatoria; Ploima; Brachionidae
Also listed under: 1 other name
Description: Bpl-Mir-7-P19_5p (mature (guide))
Source: RNAcentral
UGGAAGACUAAUGAUUUUGUGUU